GAUCAUGGCUCAGGAUGAACGCUAGCGACAGGCUUAACACAUGCAAGUCGAGGGGCAGCGGGGAGUAGCAAUACUCUGCCGGCGACCGGCGCACGGGUGAGUAACACGUAUCCAACCUGCCGAUAACUCGGGGAUAACCCUUCGAAAGAAGGCCUAAUACCCGAUGGCAUAUCCCUUCCGCCUGGUUGGGAUAUUAAAGAACUUCGGUUAUCGAUGGGGAUGCGUUCCAUUAGCUUGUUGGAGGGGUAACGGCCC
RNAcentral lists this ribosomal RNA (255 nucleotides) under uncultured bacterium. RNAcentral describes it as "partial 16S ribosomal RNA". It matches the Rfam family "Bacterial small subunit ribosomal RNA", at positions 15 to 266 of the family's 1533-position model. The record is from RNAcentral.